This 479-nucleotide ribosomal RNA is filed under the name uncultured bacterium. RNAcentral's name for it is "partial 16S ribosomal RNA". It matches the Rfam family "Bacterial small subunit ribosomal RNA", at positions 28 to 507 of the family's 1533-position model. The record is from RNAcentral.
GAUGAACGCUAGCGGGAGGCCUAACACAUGCAAGCCGAGCGGUAUUGUUUCUUCGGAAAUGAGAGAGCGGCGUACGGGUGCGUAACACGUGUGCAACCUGCCUUUAUCUGGGGGAUAGCCUUUCGAAAGGAAGAUUAAUACUCCAUAAUAUAUUGAACGGCAUCGUUUAAUAUUGAAAGCUCCGGCGGAUAGAGAUGGGCACGCGCAAGAUUAGCUAGUUGGUGAGGUAACGGCUCACCAAGGCGAUGAUCUUUAGGGGGCCUGAGAGGGUGAUCCCCCACACUGGUACUGAGACACGGACCAGACUCCUACGGGAGGCAGCAGUGAGGAAUAUUGGUCAAUGGGUGCAAGCCUGAACCAGCCAUCCCGCGUGAAGGACGACUGCCCUAUGGGUCGUAAACUUCUUUUGUAUAGGGAUAAACCUACCCUCGUGAGGGUAGCUGAAGGUACUAUACGAAUAAGCACCGGCUAACUCCGUG